Molecule: ribosomal RNA, 452 nt
Filed under: uncultured bacterium
Lineage: Bacteria
Description: bacterial SSU rRNA
Rfam family: Bacterial small subunit ribosomal RNA
Source: RNAcentral
AACGAACGCUGGCGGCAGGCUUAACACAUGCAAGUCGAACGCUCGUAGCAAUACGGGAGUGGCGGACGGGUGAGUAACGCGUGGGAACGUGCCCUGAGGUACGGAAUAACUGAGGGAAACUUCAGCUAAUACCGUAUGAGCCCCGAGAGGGGAAGAUUUAUCGCCUUGGGAGCGGCCCGCGUCGGAUUAGCUAGUUGGUGGGGUAACGGCCUACCAAGGCUUCGAUCCGUAGCUGGUCUGAGAGGACGAUCAGCCACACUGGGACUGAGACACGGCCCAGACUCCCACGGGAGGCAGCAGUGGGGAAUCUUGCGCAAUGGGGGCAACCCUGACGCAGCCAUGCCGCGUGAACGAUGUAGGCCUUAGGGUUGUAAAGUUCUUUUACCCGUGACGAUGAUGACGGUAACGGGGGAAUAAGCUCCGGCUAACUUCGUGCCAGCAGCCGCGGUAAU